This 24-nucleotide non-coding RNA is filed under the name Arabidopsis thaliana (thale cress). Lineage: Eukaryota; Viridiplantae; Streptophyta; Magnoliopsida; Brassicales; Brassicaceae. The record is from RNAcentral.
ACAUAUGUUCAGGGCCAGCCCUGA